CAGUAGCGUAUAUUAAAGUUGUUGCAGUUAAAAUGCUCGUAGUUGAAGUUCGGAUGCAGCAGAGCUUGGAAACGCUGUUAUGGUGCUUCCGUUGCUUUUGCUUGUCCCCAGUGCGUUGCAAGUACGUAUGUGCUUGUGCGUGCAUUUUACUUUGAGAAACAUAGGGUGUUCCACGCAUGUUACGGCAUGAAUAUUCCAGCAUGGGAUAAUCUGGUACGACUUCCAAUCUGCCAUUUUGGUUCGUAGGUUGGAAGUAAUGAUUAAUAGGGACUGUCGGGGGCAUUGGUAUUUGACUGUCAGAGGUGAAAUUCUUAGAUUCGUUGAGGACCAACCACUGCGAAAGCAUUUGUCAAGGAUGUCUCCAUUA
This 367-nucleotide ribosomal RNA is filed under the name uncultured eukaryote. Its description in RNAcentral is "partial 18S ribosomal RNA". It matches the Rfam family "Eukaryotic small subunit ribosomal RNA", at positions 592 to 975 of the family's 1831-position model. The record is from RNAcentral.